UGGGUUCAUUAGGUACCUAUUUGGAGAUGGACACUGAUGGGGGUGCCGAUGGACUCAAAUAUGAGUGCUUGCUCUUUGAUUUGGAUGAUACUUUGUAUCCUAUGAGCUCAGGUCUCAACUUGGCUUGCCGAAAGAACAUAGAAGAGUUCAUGUUGCAUCACUUGCAUAUUGAAGAAAGUGAAGUUCCAAGGAUGUGCCUGGAAUUGUAUAGAGAAUAUGGAACAACAAUGGCUGGUCUGAAGGCUCUUGGUUAUGAAUUUGAUGAUGAUGAGUUCCAUGCUUUUGCUCAUGGAAGAUUGCCUUAUGAAAAACUGAAGCCUGAUGCUGUAUUAAGGAACCUUCUACUUUCCUUGCCACAAAGGAAAAUAAUCUUCACUAACGCUGAUAAGGCACAUGCAGCUGAAGUUCUGAAAAGGUUGGGAUUGGAAGAUUGUUUUGCAGGAAUCAUAUGCUUUGAAACUCUUAAUCCUCCUGUUGGAGCUACUAAUUACACGGAUGCAUUAGAAAAUGAUGCGGUACUUGCAGGAGGUGAACCAAAGCUCAUUGAUCUUGAUGAUGCUGACAAAGAACGUUCCCACCCCAAGCCACAAAUCCUCUGCAAACCCUCUCUGGAGGCUAUUGAAGCCGCCAUCCGAAUUGCAAAUGUUGACCCCAAGAGAACAAUCUUCUUUGAUGACAGUGCUAGGAACAUUGCAAGUGGAAAAGCAGCAGGCCUUCAUACAGUUAUUGUAGGGAGCUCAGUCCUAGUGCCAGGUGCAGACUAUGCUUUGAGCAGCAUCCACAACAUCAAAGAAGCAAUACCCCAAAUAAUAUGGGAGGGCGAAGGAGAGCAACAGGAACAGAUUAUCCAGUCUAGGGCAUUUGAAACUGUUGUCCUUGGUUAGUUUUCUCCUUAGUUCAUACAUACAUACAAAAAUCCAGGUAUCAAGGGGACUUUAAAGUAAAGGCUAAAGGAGGGGGACAAUGGAUGAUGGCUAAAUUCAAAACCAUCAUGUUGAUUUCAUUAUAAAUCAUUAUUAGAAGAGUUAGAAGCUCAUUGUGUCUGAUAUGUUCAUUUACCAAGCUAACCCCAUAGGUGGUGGCACUAAGGACAAGGAAAAUAUGGUUACUAUUAAUCUAGCCAAGCCUUGUUCAGUUUAGAUUGUAACGCAAAAAGUAUUUGCAUUUAUGUUCACAUAGCAGUAGUACAUGC
Molecule: unclassified non-coding RNA, 1192 nt
Filed under: Hevea brasiliensis (rubber tree)
Lineage: Eukaryota; Viridiplantae; Streptophyta; Magnoliopsida; Malpighiales; Euphorbiaceae
Source: RNAcentral